GAUGAAGAACGUAGCGAAAUGCGAUAAGUAGUGUGAAUUGCAGAAUUCAGUGAAUCAUCAAAUCUUUGAACGCACAUUGCGCCCCAUGGUAUACCGUGGGGCAUGCCUGUUCGAGCGUCAUUUACCCCCUCAAGCUCCGCUUGGUGUUGGGCGUCUGUCCCGCUUCGCGCGCGGACUCGCCCCAAAGGUAUUGGCAGCGGUCGUGCCAGCUUCUCGCGCAGCACAUUGCGCUUCUCGAGGCACCGGUGGGCCCGCGUCCAUCAAGCUCACCCCCCCAGUUUGACCUCGGAUCAGGUAGGGAUACCCGCUGAACUUAAGCAUAUCAAUAAGCGGAGGA
This 337-nucleotide unclassified non-coding RNA is filed under the name soil metagenome. RNAcentral describes it as "partial contains 5.8S ribosomal RNA, internal transcribed spacer 2, and large subunit ribosomal RNA". The stretch from base 1 to 120 matches the Rfam family "5.8S ribosomal RNA", at positions 35 to 154 of the family's 154-position model. The record is from RNAcentral.